AAGUUCUGGAAAUCCAGUAGUGUAAACUGGUGACUAUCUUUGUUGGUGCGUGUGUUCAUCAAGAAGAAGUCUCAUCUUGAUCUCGUGAGGGUUUGGUGAGUAACUCUAGGGAUAAGGUGGCAUUGUAAUAGAAGCGAGUGAGUUGGAUAGAUAGGCCAUGUGUGAGCUG
Non-coding RNA from Cicer arietinum (chickpea), 169 nucleotides. The record is from RefSeq and is a predicted model, not a curated record. NCBI's taxonomy places the organism in Eukaryota, Viridiplantae, Streptophyta, Magnoliopsida, Fabales, Fabaceae.